RNAcentral lists this unclassified non-coding RNA (364 nucleotides) under uncultured Chloroflexota bacterium. RNAcentral describes it as "uncultured Chloroflexi bacterium contains 16S-23S intergenic spacer region". The record is from RNAcentral. Lineage: Bacteria; Bacillati; Chloroflexota.
UCCGGGUUGGUCCCGGCGGUCCGAGCAGACGGAGUAACUGCUCGCGGGGGUUGCGCUCGUUGCGGGACUUAACCCAACACCUCACGGCACGAGCUGACGACAGCCGUGCAGCACCUGUGCAGGCUCCCUCGCGGGUCGGUUCCGUUUCCGGUUCCUACCACCUGCAUGUCAAGCCCGGGUAAGGUUCUUCGCGUUGCAUCGAAUUAAACCACACGCUCCGCUGCUUGUGCGGGCCCCCGUCAAUUCCUUUGAGUUUUAGCCUUGCGGCCGUAGUCCCCAGGCGGGGCACUUAUUGCGUUGGCUGCGGCACCGGGGGGGUCGAUACCCCCGACACCUAGUGCCCAUCGUUUACGGCGUGGACUAC